Long non-coding RNA from Syngnathus acus (greater pipefish), 664 nucleotides. RefSeq lists it as uncharacterized. The record is from RefSeq and is a predicted model, not a curated record. The transcript is spliced from 3 exons. NCBI's taxonomy places the organism in Eukaryota, Metazoa, Chordata, Actinopteri, Syngnathiformes, Syngnathidae.
CUCUGAUGAAGGCGGAAGUACAAGCCGAAACAUGUCAGGGCAAACGCUUCAGAGAUCGGAUGGACAGACAUGUAGUAAGAGAGAGUUUCAUGUUCCAACAGAGCGUCUCCAGAUCCUCAACAGGAAUUCAUGGUCACAGAAUGACGCCAUUCAGAGGAAUUUAUGAACGCUGCCGGCAUGCAAUUUCCUGACAGACGUUUAUUUAGUGGUGGCCAUUUCCUUACCAGCUGCAUCACCAGCAGUCCUGUGGCCUCGUUUGGAACUGGUACUUACCACAACACGAUUCUGCGCGCCGUUUGGCGGGCCUUCUGUACGGCACCUGGGCCUUCGGUGGGAACUUAAACGCCUUUAUCCAGCAACGCAGUUUAACAGCACAUAACUUUGCCAUGUACAUUGCCCGGAGUCGUACACAACGAACAGUUAAAUCACAUGACAAAAAGAUCAAACAUUGACAUUAAAUACGUGACACUCAACAGUGAUGGAGAUUAUGGCAAAAUACACAGGCGGGCUUUGCAAGGUGAGUUUGGCCACAUGUAAUUUUGCUCUUAGCAAGCAAUCCGAGGACUAACCCUAACCUGGGUUUGUGACACAUGCCAAGCGCAGGAUGAAUCCCCUAUGAGCCGACUGCUUCAAGAACAUUGCCGUUACUAAUACGAUUUAGUUA